RNAcentral lists this transfer RNA (94 nucleotides) under Candidatus Cloacimonadota bacterium. RNAcentral's name for it is "tRNA-OTHER". It matches the Rfam family "Selenocysteine transfer RNA". The record is from RNAcentral. Lineage: Bacteria; Pseudomonadati; Candidatus Cloacimonadota.
GGGAGGAUGAAACGGGUGUUUCAACCGGUCUGCAAAACCGGUAGCAGGCGGAUAAAACCGUCUGUGGCAGGUUCGAUUCCUGCCCUCUCAGCCA